AGAUUGAACGCUGGCGGCAUGCUUUACACAUGCAAGUCGAACGGGCUGUUGGGGCAACCUGGCAGUCAGUGGCGGACGGGUGAGUAAUGCAUCGGAACGUGUCCCGUAGUGGGGGAUAACCCGGCGAAAGCCGGACUAAUACCGCAUAUGCUCUACGGAGGAAAGCGGGGGACCUGAAAGGGCCUCGCGCUAUGGGAGCGGCCGAUGUCCGAUUAGCUUGUUGGUGGGGUAAUGGCCUACCAAGGCGACGAUCGGUAGCUGGUCUGAGAGGAUGAUCAGCCACACUGGGACUGAGACACGGCCCAGACUCCUACGGGAGGCAGCAGUGGGAAUUUGGACAAGUGGGGGCAACCCGUGAUCCAGCCAUCGCCGCGUGCGGGAAGAAGGCCUUCGGGUUGUAACCGCGUUUAGUCGGAAGAAAGGACCGAAGGUAGAAUACCCGUUGUUCGUUGUACGGUACCGGCGGAAGUAAGCACCGGCUAACUACGUGCCAGC
Molecule: ribosomal RNA, 495 nt
Filed under: uncultured soil bacterium
Lineage: Bacteria
Description: bacterial SSU rRNA
Rfam family: Bacterial small subunit ribosomal RNA
Source: RNAcentral